CCUGACUGUGCAAAGGUAGCAUAAUAAUUUGUCUUUUAAUUGGAGGAUGGAAUGAAUGACUCGACGAAAAUAUAGCUGUCUUAUUUGUAUUUAUUAAAAGUUAAUUUUUAAGUUAAAAAGCUUAGAUAAAAUUAAGGGACGAGAAGACCCUGUUAAGCUUUAAAGAUUUUAUUGAUUACAGUUUAUAUAAAAAUACGGUAUCAAUAGAAAAAUUUUAGUUGGGGCGACUUGGGAGUAAGAUAAACCUCCUUAGGUUUAAUAAGAUUUAAUAUGUGGUCCAAUACGUUUGAGUUAAAAACAAGCUACUACAGGGAUAACAGCGUAAUUUUAAUUGAGAGUUCUAAUCGAAAAUAAAGUUUGCGACCUCGAUGUUGGAUUAGGGGAUAGUAAAGGUUGUAGAAGCUUUUAUAAAUAGUCUGUUCGACUAGUAAUACCCUACAUGAUCUGAGUUCAAACCGGA
This 460-nucleotide ribosomal RNA is filed under the name Plectostoma laidlawi. RNAcentral's name for it is "partial large subunit ribosomal RNA". It matches the Rfam family "Bacterial large subunit ribosomal RNA", at positions 1941 to 2620 of the family's 2925-position model. Lineage: Eukaryota; Metazoa; Mollusca; Gastropoda; Architaenioglossa; Diplommatinidae. The record is from RNAcentral.